AUUGAACGCUGGCGGCAGGCCUAACACAUGCGAGUCGAGCGGAUGAAGGGAGCUUGCUCCUGGAUUCAGCGGCGGACGGGUGAGUAAUGCCUAGGAAUCUGCCUGGUAGUGGGGGAUAACGUCCGGAAACGGGCGCUAAUACCGCAUACGUCCUGAGGGAGAAAGUGGGGGAUCUUCGGACCUCACGCUGUCAGAUGAGCCUAGGUCGGAUUAGCUAGUUGGUGGGGUAAAGGCCUACCAAGGCGACGAUCCGUAACUGGUCUGAGAGGAUGAUCAGUCACACUGGAACUGAGACACGGUCCAGACUCCUACGGGAGGCAGCAGUGGGGAAUAUUGGACAAUGGGCGAAAGCCUGAUCCAGCCAUGCCGCGUGUGUGAAGAAGGUCUUCGGAUUGUAAAGCACUUUAAGUUGGGAGGAAGGGCAGUAAGUUAAUACCUUGCUGUUUUGACGUUACCAACAGAAUAAGCACCGGCUAACUUCGUG
This 484-nucleotide ribosomal RNA is filed under the name uncultured bacterium. RNAcentral's name for it is "partial 16S ribosomal RNA". It matches the Rfam family "Bacterial small subunit ribosomal RNA", at positions 30 to 507 of the family's 1533-position model. The record is from RNAcentral.